RNAcentral lists this long non-coding RNA (131 nucleotides) under Monodelphis domestica (gray short-tailed opossum). Its description in RNAcentral is "lncRNA (ENSMODG00000048436.1)". Lineage: Eukaryota; Metazoa; Chordata; Mammalia; Didelphimorphia; Didelphidae. The record is from RNAcentral.
UGGAGAAUUUCAUGGCCCUGGCUCUGAGUCAGAUGAGGUAUGUAAGAGAUGAACUGGAUUUAAUCUGUCAGCAGAAGUGAGAGAAGCAGACCUGGCAAGCUGGAGAAUUCUGCAGGAAUGGGGGAAGGGCA